This 218-nucleotide unclassified non-coding RNA is filed under the name Glomeraceae sp. Its description in RNAcentral is "partial contains 5.8S ribosomal RNA and internal transcribed spacer 2". The stretch from base 1 to 71 matches the Rfam family "5.8S ribosomal RNA", at positions 84 to 154 of the family's 154-position model. Lineage: Eukaryota; Fungi; Glomeromycota; Glomeromycetes; Glomerales; Glomeraceae. The record is from RNAcentral.
GUGAAUCAUCGAAUUUUUGAACGCAAAUUGCACUCUCUGGUAUUCCGGAGAGUAUGCCUGUUUGAGGGUCAGUUUAAAUAAAAAUCGGUGUGGUUGCUGCCUUUCGUGGUGACGCACCGGUUGUGGGCCGCUUUGCUUUCGGUUAGGGGCCUUAAAUUUUUGCUGGUUUUUUUGGAAGGAAUUUAAAUGAUUUUACGUCCGUUUGGGUUAUCGAUUAU